GAUGAACGCUGGCGGCGUGCCUAAUACAUGCAAGUCGAGCGAACAGAUGAGGAGCUUGCUCCUCUGACGUUAGCGGCGGACGGGUGAGUAAAACGUGGAUAACCUACCUAUAAGACUGGGAUAACUUCGGGAAACCGGAGCUAAUACCGGAUAAUAUAUUGAACCGCAUGGUUCAAUAGUGAAAGACGGUUUUGCUGUCACUUAUAGAUGGAUCCGCGCCGCAUUAGCUAGUUGGUAAGGUAAUGGCUUACCAAGGCAACGAUGCGUAGCCGACCUGAGAGGGUGAUCGGCCACACUGGAACUGAGACACGGUCCAGACUCCUACGGGAGGCAGCAGUAGGGAAUCUUCCGCAAUGGGCGAAAGCCUGACGGAGCAACGCCGCGUGAGUGAUGAAGGUCUUCGGAUCGUAAAACUCUGUUAUUAGGGAAGAACAAAUGUGUAAGUAACUAUGCACGUCUUGACGGUACCUAAUCAGAAAGCCACGGCUAACUACGUG
RNAcentral lists this ribosomal RNA (497 nucleotides) under uncultured bacterium. RNAcentral describes it as "partial 16S ribosomal RNA". It matches the Rfam family "Bacterial small subunit ribosomal RNA", at positions 28 to 507 of the family's 1533-position model. The record is from RNAcentral.